CGCUAUCAUCAUUAACUUUAUUUAUUACCGUCAUUCGAUCCCGAAUGUCAGUUUUACCCCUAUUUCAACCGGAUGCAUGCAUCCGGUUUUUUUU
This is a non-coding RNA of 94 nucleotides. It matches the Rfam family "MicF RNA". Rfam says of the family: The micF gene is a stress response gene found in Escherichia coli and related bacteria that post-transcriptionally controls expression of the outer membrane porin gene ompF. The micF gene encodes a non-translated 93 nt antisense RNA that binds its target ompF mRNA and regulates ompF expression by inhibiting translation and inducing degradation of the message. The record is from Rfam.